AGCAGCCGCGGUAAUUCCAGCUCCAAUAGCGUAUAUUAAAGUUGUUGCAGUUAAAAAGCUCGUAGUUGAAUUUCGGGAUCAAUGCGUCGGUCGUGCUUUCGGGUACGUACUGGUGUCAUUGGUUUCUCCUUUCUGACGAGCCGUGAUGUCAUUAAUUUGGUGUUACGGGUAGUUAGGACUGUUACUUUGAAAAAAUUAGAGUGUUUAAAGCAGGCAUUAGCUUGAAUACAUUAGCAUGGAAUAAUGAAAUAGGACGUUCGAUCCUAUUUUGUUGGUUUCUAGGAUCAACGUAAUGAUUAAUAGGGAUAGUUGGGGGCAUUAGUAUUCAAUUGUCAGAGGUGAAAUUCUUGGAUUUAUUGAAGACUAACUACUGCGAAAGCAUUUGCCAAGGAUGUUUUCAUUAAUCAAGAACGAAAGUUAGGGGAUCGAAGACGAUCAGAUACCGUCGUAGUCUUAACCAUAAACUAUGCCGACUAGGGAUCGGAUGAUGUUAAUUUUUUAAUGACUCAUUCGGCGCCUU
Molecule: ribosomal RNA, 520 nt
Filed under: uncultured Glomus
Lineage: Eukaryota; Fungi; Glomeromycota; Glomeromycetes; Glomerales; Glomeraceae
Description: SSU rRNA
Rfam family: Eukaryotic small subunit ribosomal RNA
Source: RNAcentral